This 400-nucleotide long non-coding RNA is filed under the name Nicotiana tabacum (common tobacco). RNAcentral describes it as "long non-coding RNA (NTAB_LNC010696)". Lineage: Eukaryota; Viridiplantae; Streptophyta; Magnoliopsida; Solanales; Solanaceae. The record is from RNAcentral.
CAAAUCCUGAGAAGAAUUCAAGUCGUUUGGAAUUGAUUCUUGAAGCUUCUUUGUGCUAAGAAAACGCCCUCCGGACCCUCUAACCCUCUUUACCGCGUGAAGAUGCCGUGAUUCAUGAAGAUACGGCUUUCUAGCUUUGACAAGUUUGUUUUGAGCCUCAAGCUUAGCACGCAUCUGUCUUCGCCUUAAGAUCCCAUGAUACUGUUUCGCAUUUACAUAAACCGGUCCAUCUUCUGCAAGAUCGAGGGGUAAUGGGACCCGUGCAGGUGCUAUGCCAAUCAUUUGAGGAAAAACAUGAGGUCCGUAAGCAGCAUAAAAGCCACUGAGAUAGGGGUCGGAGUAACCAAAAGGAGCGUGGCUAAUUGAAUGGGCCAUUUCACUUUGUGAACAAUCGGUGGGA